ACAGGAUGGCUGAUUAUAGGUGAUAGAUUGUAAAUCUAUUUAUGGGUAUAGACCCUCCUGUUAA
RNAcentral lists this transfer RNA (64 nucleotides) under Anthicidae sp. 1 ACP-2013. RNAcentral describes it as "tRNA-Tyr". Lineage: Eukaryota; Metazoa; Arthropoda; Insecta; Coleoptera; Anthicidae. The record is from RNAcentral.